RNAcentral lists this ribosomal RNA (397 nucleotides) under Drosophila mainlandi. RNAcentral describes it as "partial 12S ribosomal RNA". The record is from RNAcentral. Lineage: Eukaryota; Metazoa; Arthropoda; Insecta; Diptera; Drosophilidae.
UCAUUCUAGAUACACUUUCCAGUACAUCUACUAUGUUACGACUUAUCUUACCUUAAUAAUAAGAGCGACGGGCGAUGUGUACAUAUUUUAGAGCUAAAAUCAAAUUAUUAAUCUUUAUAAUUUUACAACCAAAUCCACCUUCAAAAAUUUUUUCAUAAUUUUAUCCGUUUAAAUAAAUUUAUUGUAACCCAUUAUUACUUAAAUAUAAGCUACACCUUGAUCUGAUAUAAAUUUUAAUUAAAAUUAUUGAAUAUUAUUAUUCUUAUAAAAUAUUCUGAUAACGACGGUAUAUAAACUGAUUACAAACUUAAGUAAGGUCCAUCGUGGAUUAUCGAUUAAAAAACAGGUUCCUCUGGAUAGACUAAAAUACCGCCAAAUUUUUUAAGUUUCAAGAACA